CACGUAGGGGGCGAGCGUUGUCCGGAUUUAUUGGGCGUAAAGAGCUCGUAGGCGGUUUCGUAAGUCGGAUGUGAAAACUCCAGGCUCAACUUGGAGACGCCAUUCGAUACUGCGAUGACUUGAGUCCGGUAGGGGAGUGUGGAAUUCCUGGUGUAGCGGUGAAAUGCGUAGAUAUCGAGAGGAACACCUGCGGCGAAGGCGGGUUGCUGGGCUGAUACUGACGCUGAGGCGCGAAAGCCAGGGGAGCGAACGGG
Molecule: ribosomal RNA, 254 nt
Filed under: uncultured bacterium
Lineage: Bacteria
Description: partial 16S ribosomal RNA
Rfam family: Bacterial small subunit ribosomal RNA
Source: RNAcentral